AACCCCCCAAUCUACCCAAAAUCCAUUUCCCACCAAAAUUUUACUCUCCCAUUUAUUUUUUCUCAAAAUUUUACUCCCCAAAACACUCAAAACCUUUUAUUUUCCCCCAAAAUUUUUACUCCCUCCCACUUUUCUCCUAAAACUUUUAUUCCCUUCCCAUCCCACCUCCCAUCUAUCCCAAACCCUCCCCCCUCCAAAUUUUUUUUAAUGUUUUCCCUCCAAAAUUUUACUCCCCCUAUUUACUUUCCCUCAAACUUUUAUUCCCCAAAACUUUUUAUUUUUCCCCUAAACUUUUACUUCUCAC
RNAcentral lists this long non-coding RNA (304 nucleotides) under Gossypium raimondii (Peruvian cotton). RNAcentral describes it as "long non-coding RNA (GRAI_LNC003234)". Lineage: Eukaryota; Viridiplantae; Streptophyta; Magnoliopsida; Malvales; Malvaceae. The record is from RNAcentral.